AAUCCAUAGGUUAAUGAGGCGAACCGGGGGAACUGAAACAUCUAAGUACCCCGAGGAAAAGAAAUCAACCGAGAUUCCCCCAGUAGCGGCGAGCGAACGGGGAGGAGCCCAGAGCCUGAAUCAGCAUGUGUGUUAGUGGAAGCGUCUGGAAAGGCGCGCGAUACAGGGUGACAGCCCCGUACACAAAAGCGCAUGUGCUGUGAGCUCGAUGAGUAGGGCGGGACACGUGGUAUCCUGUCUGAAUAUGGGGGGACCAUCCUCCAAGGCUAAAUACUCCUGACUGACCGAUAGUGAACCAGUACCGUGAGGGAAAGGCGAAAAGAACCCCGGCGAGGGGAGUGAAAAAGAACCUGAAACCGUGUACGUACAAGCAGUGGGAGCCCCACCACCAAAGCGUUUCGCUUUGUGUGGUGCACAAAGAAGCGUAACGACAGCACUGAAUGACGGUUAACGGAGCGCAAGCGACGUUCAACAUACAAAGUCAAGCAGUGGAGCGCUUUGGGGUGGGGUGACUGCGUACCUUUUGUAUAAUGGGUCAGCGACUUAUAUUCUGUAGCAAGGUUAACCGAAUAGGGGAGCCGGAGGGAAACCGAGUCUUAACCGGGCGUUAAGUUGCAGGGUAUAGACCCGAAACCCGGUGAUCUAGCCAUGGGCAGGUUGAAGGUUGGGUAACACUAACUGGAGGACCGAACCGACUAAUGUUGAAAAAUUAGCGGAUGACCUGUGGCUGGGGGUGAAAGGCCAAUCAAACCGGGAGAUAGCUGGUUCUCCCCGAAAGCUAUUUAGGUAGCGCCUCGUGAAUUCAUCUCCGGGGGUAGAGCACUGUUUCGGCUAGGGGGCCAUCCCGGCUUACCAACCCGAUGCAAACUGCGAAUACCGGAGAAUGUUAUCACGGGAGACACACGGCGGGUGCUAACGUCCGUCGUGAAGAGGGAAACAACCCAGACCGCCAGCUAAGGUCCCAAAGUCAUGGUUAAGUGGGAAACGAUGUGGGAAGGCCCAGACAGCCAGGAUGUUGGCUUAGAAGCAGCCAUCAUUUAAAGAAAGCGUAAUAGCUCACUGGUCGAGUCGGCCUGCGCGGAAGAUGUAACGGGGCUAAACCAUGCACCGAAGCUGCGGCAGCGACGCUUAUGCGUUGUUGGGUAGGGGAGCGUUCUGUAAGCCUG
RNAcentral lists this ribosomal RNA (1166 nucleotides) under Salmonella enterica subsp. enterica serovar Weltevreden. RNAcentral describes it as "partial 23S ribosomal RNA". It matches the Rfam family "Bacterial large subunit ribosomal RNA", at positions 161 to 1251 of the family's 2925-position model. Lineage: Bacteria; Pseudomonadati; Pseudomonadota; Gammaproteobacteria; Enterobacterales; Enterobacteriaceae. The record is from RNAcentral.